AAAAAAUUAGUUAAUAUAUAACAUUAAUUUGUCAAAUUAAAAUAAAUAUAAUUUAUUAUUUUUUA
Molecule: transfer RNA, 65 nt
Filed under: Ceratina okinawana
Lineage: Eukaryota; Metazoa; Arthropoda; Insecta; Hymenoptera; Apidae
Description: tRNA-Asp
Source: RNAcentral